Molecule: ribosomal RNA, 405 nt
Filed under: uncultured prokaryote
Description: bacterial SSU rRNA
Rfam family: Bacterial small subunit ribosomal RNA
Source: RNAcentral
UGGGGAAUAUUGGGCAAUGGGCGCAAGCCUGACCCAGCAACGCCGCGUGAGGGAAGAAGGCUUUCGGGUUGUAAACCUCUGUCCUUGGUGACGAAAAAAAUGACGGUAGCCAAGGAGGAAGCCCCGGCUAACUACGUGCCAGCAGCCGCGGUAAUCCGUAGGGGGCGAGCGUUGUCCGGAAUUACUGGGCGUAAAGGGUGCGUAGGGGGCCUUUUAAGUUGGAGGUGAAAUCCCCGGGCUUAACUUGGGUGGUGCAUCUAAUAAUGGAGGGCUAGAGUGCAGGAGAGGAAAGCGGAAUUCCUAGUGUAGCGGUGAAAUGCGUAGAUAUUAGGAGGAACACCAGUGGCGAAGGCGGCUUUCUGGACUGUAACUGACACUGAGGCACGAAAGCGUGGGGAGCAAACA